CGUAACAAAGAGAAUCAAACAACCCUUUGGAACGAGAGAACUUUGUGAUAAAAUCUAAAUCAAGGGAUUGGUAUUCAAUGCAAGGAAUAAGUUUAUCCAUAUCUUGUAGCCGCUUGCAAUCGUUUAAAUAAUUAAGGAUAUGAUGCUGUAAUUGCGGAGAAGGAUUGGUAAAUCUCUGACUAAGAAUUAAAUCAAAUAAAGCUUCCAAUACAACAUAUACUU
Schizosaccharomyces pombe (fission yeast) is the source of this 222-nucleotide non-coding RNA. NCBI's taxonomy places the organism in Eukaryota, Fungi, Ascomycota, Schizosaccharomycetes, Schizosaccharomycetales, Schizosaccharomycetaceae. The record is from the annotation of a GenBank genome assembly.